UACGAGAGGCCCGAGCGUUAUUCGGAAUCACUGGGCUUAAAGGGUGCGUAGGCGGCCACGUAGGCGUCCUGUGAAAUCCCACGGCUCAACCGUGGAAUUGCGGGGCGAACCACAUGGCUUGAACCUGGUAGGGGCUGUCGGAACGAUCGGUGGAGCGGUGAAAUGCGUAGAUAUCGAUCGGAACGCCGAAGGUGAAGACGGGCAGCUGGGCCAGAGUUGACGCUGAGGCACGAAAGCGUGGGGAUCAAACAGG
This 253-nucleotide ribosomal RNA is filed under the name uncultured bacterium. RNAcentral describes it as "partial 16S ribosomal RNA". It matches the Rfam family "Bacterial small subunit ribosomal RNA", at positions 524 to 776 of the family's 1533-position model. The record is from RNAcentral.